Molecule: ribosomal RNA, 489 nt
Filed under: uncultured bacterium
Lineage: Bacteria
Description: partial 16S ribosomal RNA
Rfam family: Bacterial small subunit ribosomal RNA
Source: RNAcentral
AGUGAACGCUGGCGGUAGGCCUAACACAUGCAAGUCGAACGGCAGCACAGUAAGAGCUUGCUCUUACGGGUGGCGAGUGGCGGACGGGUGAGGAAUACAUCGGAAUCUACUUUUUCGUGGGGGAUAACGUAGGGAAACUUACGCUAAUACCGCAUACGACCUACGGGUGAAAGCAGGGGAUCUUCGGACCUUGCGCGAUUGAAUGAGCCGAUGUCGGAUUAGCUAGUUGGCGGGGUAAAGGCCCACCAAGGCGACGAUCCGUAGCUGGUCUGAGAGGAUGAUCAGCCACACUGGAACUGAGACACGGUCCAGACUCCUACGGGAGGCAGCAGUGGGGAAUAUUGGACAAUGGGCGCAAGCCUGAUCCAGCCAUACCGCGUGGGUGAAGGCCUUCGGGUUGUAAAGCCCUUUUGUUGGGAAAGAAAAGCAGCAGGUUAAUACCCCGCUGUUCUGACGGUACCCAAAGAAUAAGCACCGGCUAACUUCGUG